GGUCAAGUGACGAAGCGUGCACGGUGGAUGCCUUGGCAGCCAGAGGCGAUGAAGGACGUUGUAGCCUGCGAUAAGCUCCGGUUAGGUGGCAAACAACCGUUUGACCCGGAGAUCUCCGAAUGGGGCAACCCACCUGUCAUAAGGCAGGUAUCACACACUGAAUCCAUAGGUGUGUGAGGCGAACGCGGGGAACUGAAACAUCUAAGUACCCGUAGGAACAGAAAUCAAUUGAGAUUCCGUCAGUAGCGGCGAGCGAACGCGGAUUAGCCCUUAAGCAUGUGACUGGUUAGGAGAACGGUUUGGGAAGGCCGACCAUAGUGGGUGAUAGUCCCGUAUCCGAAAACCUGAGCAUGUGAAAACGAGUAGGUCGGGGCACGUGUAACCUUGACUGAACAUGGGGGGACCAUCCUCCAAGGCUAAAUACUCCUGGCUGACCGAUAGUGAACCAGUACCGUGAGGGAAAGGCGAAAAGAACCCCGGAGAGGGGAGUGAAAUAGACCCUGAAACCGUGUACGUACAAGCAGUCGGAGCCCGCUUUGUUGGGUGACGGCGUACCUUUUGUAUAAUGGGUCAGCGACUUAUUCUCAGUAGCGAGGUUAACCGUAUAGGGGAGCCGUAGGGAAACCGAGUCUGAAUAGGGCGACGAGUUGCUGGGAAUAGACCCGAAACCGGACGAUCUACCCAUGGGCAGGUUGAAGGUGCGGUAACACGCACUGGAGGACCGAACCGGGAUCUGUUGAAAAAGAUUCGGAUGACCUGUGGGUCGGAGUGAAAGGCUAAUCAAGUCCGGAGAUAGCUGGUUCUCCCCGAAAGCUAUUUAGGUAGCGCCUCGUAUAUCACCACCGGGGGUAGAGCACUGUUUCGGCUAGGGGCCCAUCCCGGGUUACCAAACCGAUGCAAACUCCGAAUACCGGUGAGUGCAGUACGGGAGACACACGGCGGGUGCUAACGUCCGUCGUGGAGAGGGAAACAACCCAGACCGCCAGCUAAGGUCCCCAAAUUCCAGUUAAGUGGGAAACGAUGUGGGAAGGCUCAGACAGCUAGGAGGUUGGCUUAGAAGCAGCCACCCUUUAAAGAAAGCGUAAUAGCUCACUAGUCGAGUCGGCCUGCGCGGAAGAUGUAACGGGGCUCAAACUGGAUACCGAAGCUGCGGCAGUGCCUUAGGGCACUGGGUAGGGGAGCGUUGUGUAAGCCUGUGAAGGUGUGUUGAGAAGCAUGCUGGAGGUAUCACAAGUGCGAAUGCUGACGUGAGUAACGAUAAUGCGGGUGAAAAACCCGCACGCCGAAAGACCAAGGGUUCCUGCGCAACGCUAAUCGGCGCAGGGUGAGUCGGCCCCUAAGGCGAGGCUGAAAGGCGUAGCUGAUGGGAAACGGGUUAAUAUUCCCGUACUUCUUGUAACUGCGAUGGAGAGACGGAGAAGGCUAGGCCUACCGGGCGUUGGUUGUCCCGGGGAAAGGUUGUAGGCUGAGGUGUUAGGCAAAUCCGGCACCUUAAGGCUGAGAACCGAGACCACCGGCCCUUUG
RNAcentral lists this ribosomal RNA (1524 nucleotides) under Alloalcanivorax marinus. RNAcentral's name for it is "Bacterial large subunit ribosomal RNA". It matches the Rfam family "Bacterial large subunit ribosomal RNA", at positions 1 to 1582 of the family's 2925-position model. The record is from Rfam by way of RNAcentral. Lineage: Bacteria; Pseudomonadati; Pseudomonadota; Gammaproteobacteria; Oceanospirillales; Alcanivoracaceae.